AACGUGGGUAACCUGCCCUGAUGAUCGGGACAACCCGAGGAAACUCGGGCUAAUACCGAAUGUGCCCUCCAGCUACAAGGCUGACGGGGAAAGGAAGCUUCGGCCUCCGCAUCGGGAUGGGCCCGCGGCCCAUUAGCUUGUUGGUGAGGUAAUGGCUCACCAAGGCGACGAUGGGUAGCUGGUCUGAGAGGACGAUCAGCCACACUGGGACUGAGACACGGCCCAG
This 226-nucleotide ribosomal RNA is filed under the name uncultured bacterium. RNAcentral's name for it is "partial 16S ribosomal RNA". It matches the Rfam family "Bacterial small subunit ribosomal RNA", at positions 114 to 334 of the family's 1533-position model. The record is from RNAcentral.